GACGGAGGAUGCGAGCGUUAUCCGGAUUUAUUGGGUUUAAAGGGAGCGCAGACGGGUCGUUAAGUCAGCUGUGAAAGUUUGGGGCUCAACCUUAAAAUUGCAGUUGAUACUGGCGUCCUUGAGUGCGGUUGAGGUGUGCGGAAUUCGUGGUGUAGCGGUGAAAUGCUUAGAUAUCACGAAGAACUCCGAUUGCGAAGGCAGCACACUAAGCCGUAACUGACGUUCAUGCUCGAAAGCGUGGGGAGCAAACAGGAUUAGAUACCCCUG
Molecule: ribosomal RNA, 267 nt
Filed under: uncultured bacterium
Lineage: Bacteria
Description: partial 16S ribosomal RNA
Rfam family: Bacterial small subunit ribosomal RNA
Source: RNAcentral